Long non-coding RNA from Solea solea (common sole), 906 nucleotides. RefSeq lists it as uncharacterized. The transcript has 5 exons. The record is from RefSeq and is a predicted model, not a curated record. NCBI's taxonomy places the organism in Eukaryota, Metazoa, Chordata, Actinopteri, Pleuronectiformes, Soleidae.
CACCCAUGAUCUGAGGAAAGUGUGUGUCCGUGCAUCUUUUACUCAUUACUCCCCUUUUCAGAUAACUGUGGAUGAUGUGAUCCAUGGAAAUAUCCCGACCGUGGCGGCGACUGUUGGGGAGACAACGUUUGCAGCCAGCUGAAGCGUCAAAAGUUUUGGUGCGGAGAAGUCCACCUGAGCGAUCGUGACUGACCCCCACCACCUCCUCCUCCAGUGGAUUGGAAGAAAAGAUCAGACCAGAGAGUUAAGUAAGAGCCAGCACCUCCUGAUCCACUCAGCUCCUUCCUCCUCGCCGUGCUCAGUGUGAGUGAAGUGCGAGACAAAGUAAUCUUCAGAUACAUGGGGGCCAUCGCUGGUUUUAGGAUCUAUCACCGUUUUGUGGAGAAAUGGGCUUCCAUACAUAUUUGCCCACAAAAACAGAAGGGCUGUAUUUAUCAUUUAUCUUCAGCGUUGGACCCCCACAGUAUGAUGUCAUGGUCACACACACACACACACACACGCACAUCCUGCAGCUGCACAGAUCCUGCUGUUAACUCAGUUAUGAUCUCAUGCCACGGAACACUGACUCUUCUCAGAGCACAUUUGUGAUCAAUUACAGAACGAGUGAAAGUGGGAAAAAGUCGAUGUCAAACUAAUAACUGUGAGGAUCCAAAAGUGUUGCAUCCUGAGUCUCUCCCCACCCCGAAUGACACUCGAUAUAAGAGACUCUGUGAUUUUGAGGACCAUUCAAUGAUGAAGGUGCAAUUUCCUGCAAAGUGGCCCCGACCUGGUUUUUGACACGACACUUUUUGAAAUGACGGCGUGGAAGAAAAUGAGCUGUACGAUGUUCAAUUUCCACUUUUUUGGUUUAAUGUCUUUAAAAAUGGUCGUAGUGAGCUUUCUGUGUCUUUCAUUAGCUCUACUAAU